This is a non-coding RNA of Paramuricea clavata, 1596 nucleotides long. Lineage: Eukaryota; Metazoa; Cnidaria; Anthozoa; Malacalcyonacea; Plexauridae. The record is from the annotation of a GenBank genome assembly.
UAGUAAUUAUGUUAUGUGUAUUUAUUGGUUCAAUUUUCUCUGCUCGUAUUAGAUAUGGGGGAGCCUCUCCCACUGUUCGUCAGCAGAGAAGAAUUUGUAAUUCUUCCAAAUCUUUAUAUUAGAAACUGUUGGAGAGGGGAGAUUUUGCCACAAAUCAACAAUCUUAUAAUUCUUAUCUCACCCCCGCCCCCCCUGGUAUUUAUAUGGUGCUUGCUAUGCACCUGCUCGUCAGGGUCUUAGCUAGGAUUUUAGGUCUUGGGCGUGUUUCUAAUGACCAGGGUGUGCACAUUUCAAUUACCUUAAAUAGCCAUAUUCACGGUUCUAGUUAAGCUCGCCAACAACAGACAAUGCCUAUGGUUGUUCUACUGCAUGUAUAUGCUUUGCAACCAAAUACAAGGCGAGCAUACGCUCAUAUUGCGCACUGACAUUAAAAUAUUAAGUUAUUUCAGCAACUCUUGGGGGUAUUUAAAACCAUUUUAACACCAUGCAGUUCCCGUUAUCCAUCAAGAUAUUAAAACUGGAUCGCUUUUGCCAAUUUCAACAACAACAGUAGAUUUUACAAACUUUCUUACGAGGUAAAUUGGAAGAAAUUCUGUCUGUUGUAAGUACUAUAGCAACACCUUAUUUUAUGAACCUACACGGCCUUAUAUAAAUAGUGAAGCCGCGUUCAUUUUAUCUAGCCGUGUUUUUCCACUUUUGGCCGCGAUAACACGGCCAACACGGCCCUCUAGCUAAGACCCUGCUGCUCGUUAAGGCCAAACCACCCUAUUUUGUUAUUUUUGUCGAUGUUACUCAUACAGGUUAGAAGCGCAGGAUCAAAAAUUUCUACUGUAAUUUUCUGGGAUAUUUUUUUUAUUCUAAAUAUAAAUAAUAUAAAAUGAAAUGUUAAUACAAAUAAUAAAAUAUUGAUUAUAAAUAAUAAUUUGUCAGUGGUUACUUUAAUAAUUGGUUUCCCCAUCAUGUAUAUAGGAUUUGGGGAAGUACAGACUAUACGUUGUGGCUCAAUAUUAGGCCCAUUAUUAUUUUUAUUAUACAUUAAUGAUUUACCCAACGCUGCGAGAAUGGCAGAGACUUUGCUUUUUGCAGAUGACACUGGCAUUUUUUAUUCUCACUCGGAUCCAAAACAUUUCAUUUCUGUGUUAAAUACGGAAUUAACUGAAAUUGAUAACUGGGUGAAAUCCAAUAAACUUUCGGUUAACAUAAAGAAAACAAGUUAUAUUAUUUUUAAAUCAAGGCGAAAGAAAAUCAGUGUCAAUUUACCAGCUAUUGUUUUCGACAAUCAACAUCUAAAACAAGAACAAGUUAUUAAAUUCUUGGGAAUUUACAUAGAUGAAAAUCUCGCAUGGAAACCGCAUAUAAACUAUGUGUGUAAAAAAAUAUCGAAAUCUAUUGGAAUAAUUUAUAGAUCUCGCUUUGAAUAAUUUAUAGAUCUUCGGGGGCAUGCCCCCCUCCCCUGGAAAAUUUUUAAAUUUGGAGUCUCUGAAAUGCCAUUUCCUGCAUUUUGGGAGAAGAUUAACAGAAUUCUAAAGGUACAAAAAUGUCAUUAAAAAAUCUCAAAAGUAACACUUUUUGGACAUCUGCUUGCAAUUAUAAGUU